UGCGCAGGCGGAUUUGUAAGUCAGUGGUGAAAUCCCCCGGCUCAACCGGGGAACUGCCAUUGAUACUGCUAAUCUAGAGUACAGUUGAAGUAGGCGGAAUGUAGCAUGUAGCGGUGAAAUGCAUAGAGAUGCUACAGAACACCGAUUGCGAAGGCAGCUUACUAAGCUGUAACUGACGCUCAGGCACGAAAGCGUGGGGAGCAAACAGGAUUAGAUACCCUGGUAGUC
This 228-nucleotide ribosomal RNA is filed under the name uncultured bacterium. RNAcentral describes it as "partial 16S ribosomal RNA". It matches the Rfam family "Bacterial small subunit ribosomal RNA", at positions 568 to 795 of the family's 1533-position model. The record is from RNAcentral.